UACGGGGGGGGCAAGCGUUGUUCGGAAUUACUGGGCGUAAAGGGCUCGUAGGCGGCCAACUAAGUCGGACGUGAAAUCCCCAGGCUCAACCUGGGAACUGCGUCCGAUACUGGAUGGCUUGAAUCCGGGAGAGGGAUGCAGAAUUCCAGGUGUAGCGGUGAAAUGCGUAGAUAUCUGGAGGAACACCGGUGGCGAAGGCGGCAUCCUGGACCAUUACUGACACUGAAAAGCGAAAGCCAGGGGAGCAAACGGG
RNAcentral lists this ribosomal RNA (253 nucleotides) under uncultured bacterium. RNAcentral describes it as "partial 16S ribosomal RNA". It matches the Rfam family "Bacterial small subunit ribosomal RNA", at positions 524 to 776 of the family's 1533-position model. The record is from RNAcentral.